UACGUAGGGGGCUAGCGUUGUCCGGAAUCAUUGGGCGUAAAGCGCGCGUAGGCGGCCCGGUAAGUCCGCUGUAAAAGUCCAGGGCUCAACCCUGGAACGCCGGUGGAUACUGUCGGGCUAGAGUCCGGAAGAGGCGAGUGGAAUUCCUGGUGUAGCGGUGGAAGUGCGCAGAUAUCAGGAGGAACACCGAGUGGCGAAGGCAGCUCGCUGGGACGUGACUGACGCUGAGACGCGAAAGCGUGGGGAGCAAACAGG
This 255-nucleotide ribosomal RNA is filed under the name uncultured bacterium. RNAcentral describes it as "partial 16S ribosomal RNA". It matches the Rfam family "Bacterial small subunit ribosomal RNA", at positions 524 to 776 of the family's 1533-position model. The record is from RNAcentral.